GGGGUGUUAGCUCAGCUGGUUCAGAGCGCUUGCUUGACAGGCAAGAGGUCACUGGUUCGAACCCGGUACAUCCCA
RNAcentral lists this transfer RNA (75 nucleotides) under Bacteroidia bacterium. RNAcentral's name for it is "tRNA-Val". It matches the Rfam family "tRNA". Rfam says of the family: Transfer RNA (tRNA) molecules are approximately 80 nucleotides in length. Their secondary structure includes four short double-helical elements and three loops (D, anti-codon, and T loops). Lineage: Bacteria; Pseudomonadati; Bacteroidota; Bacteroidia. The record is from RNAcentral.